AUGAACGCUAGCGGCAGGCCUAACACAUGCAAGUCGAGGGAGGAGCCUUCGGGCUUCGACCGGCGUACGGGUGCGUAACGCGUAUACAAUCUGCCUUUCACAUAGGGAUAGCCCGAAGAAAUUUGGAUUAAUACCUAAUGGUAUAUAGAUGUGGCAUCACCUUUAUAUUAAAGCUGAGGCGGUGAAAGAUGAGUAUGCGUUCUAUUAGUUAGUUGGAGAGGUAACGGCUCCCCAAGGCGACGAUAGAUAGGGGAUCUGAGAGGGAGAUCCCCCACACUGGUACUAAGAUACGGACCAGACUCCUACGGGAGGCAGCAGUGAGGAAUAUUGGACAAUGGUCGGAAGACUGAUCCAGCCAUGCCGCGUGCAGGAAGACGGCCUUAGGGGUUGUAAACUGCUUUUGCAGAGGAAGAAUAAGGACUACGCGUAGUUUGAUGACGGUACUCUGCGAAUAAGCAUCGGCUAACUCCGUG
Molecule: ribosomal RNA, 473 nt
Filed under: uncultured bacterium
Lineage: Bacteria
Description: partial 16S ribosomal RNA
Rfam family: Bacterial small subunit ribosomal RNA
Source: RNAcentral